UGUAAGCGUAUACCAAAGUUGUUGCAGUUAAAACGCUCGUAGUCGGAAUUUGGCAGUUCCGGAUGUGUGCACGUCGUGUGCGCACUUCGCGGGGAUUGCUUUUGUGGUCUUGCGUAGGAUGAGGCACUUUUAUUAGUGAACGUCCUCACGCAACCACUUUUUACUGUGAGAAAAUCAGAGUGCUCAAAGCAGGCAUCUGCCGUGAAUGUAUUAGCAUGGAAUAAUAGAGUAGGACUUGGUUCUAUUUUGUUGGUUUGUUGGGACUGAGUAAUGAUUAAGAGGGACAGUUGGGGGCAUUUGUAUUUCGGUGCUAGAGGUGAAAUUCUUAGAUUACCGAAAGACAAACUGCUGCGAAAGCGUCUGCCAAGGAUGUUUUCAUUGA
This 382-nucleotide ribosomal RNA is filed under the name uncultured eukaryote. RNAcentral describes it as "partial 18S ribosomal RNA". It matches the Rfam family "Eukaryotic small subunit ribosomal RNA", at positions 592 to 976 of the family's 1831-position model. The record is from RNAcentral.